This 585-nucleotide ribosomal RNA is filed under the name uncultured bacterium. RNAcentral describes it as "partial 16S ribosomal RNA". It matches the Rfam family "Bacterial small subunit ribosomal RNA", at positions 355 to 1375 of the family's 1533-position model. The record is from RNAcentral.
UGGGGAAUUUUGGACAAUGGGCGAAAGCCGAUCCAGCAAUGCCGCGUGUGUGAAGAAGGCCUUCGGGUUGUAAAGCACUUUUGUCCGGAAAGAAAUCCUUGGCUCUAAUACAGUCGGGGGAUGACGGUACCGGAAGAAUAAGCACCGGCUAACUACGUGCCAGCAGCCGCGGUAAUACGUAGGGUGCAAGCGUUAAUCGGAAUUACUGGGCGUAAAGCGUGCGCAGGCGGUUUGCUAAGACCGAUGUGAAAUCCCCGGGCUCAACCUGGGAACUGCAUUGGUGACUGGCAGGCUAGAGUAUGGCAGAGGGGGGUAGAAUUCCACGUGUAGCAGUGAAAUGCGUAGAGAUGUGGAGGAAUACCGAUGGCGAAGGCAGCCCCCUGGGCCAAUACUGACGCUCAUGCACGAAAGCGUGGGGAGCAAACAGGAUUAGAUACCCUGGUAGUCCACGCCCUAAAACGAUGUCAACUAGUUGUUGGGGAUUCAUUUCCUUAGUAACGUAGCUAACGCGUGAAGUUGACCGCCUGGGGAGUACGGUCGCAAGAUUAAAACUCAAAUGAAUUGACGGGGUCAUAGCUGUUUCCU